RNAcentral lists this ribosomal RNA (253 nucleotides) under uncultured bacterium. Its description in RNAcentral is "partial 16S ribosomal RNA". It matches the Rfam family "Bacterial small subunit ribosomal RNA", at positions 524 to 776 of the family's 1533-position model. The record is from RNAcentral.
UACAGAGGUCUCAAGCGUUGUUCGGAUUCAUUGGGCGUAAAGGGCGCGUAGGCGGCGGGGUAAGUCGGGUGUGAAAUCUCAGAGCUCAACUCUGAAACUGCACUCGAUACUGCUCUGCUUGAGGACUGGAGAGGAGACUGGAAUUCACGGUGUAGUAGUGAAAUGCGUAGAUAUCGUGAGGAAGACCAGUGGCGAAGGCGGGUCUCUGGACCGGAACUGACGCUGAGGAGCGAAAGCGUGGGGAGCGAACAGG